AUUAUAUGCAAAUCGUCGCUUUUCGUUUCUUCUUUUACUUUAGCACCUGAGUUUCGGGGGCUUGCGCGCGUAAGAAAAGAAACGAAAAGUUACGCUAAAGCCUCCGUCAGGAGGCUUUUUUGU
RNAcentral lists this non-coding RNA (123 nucleotides) under Providencia stuartii. Its description in RNAcentral is "Phenylalanine leader peptide". It matches the Rfam family "Phenylalanine leader peptide". The record is from RNAcentral. Lineage: Bacteria; Pseudomonadati; Pseudomonadota; Gammaproteobacteria; Enterobacterales; Morganellaceae.